UAUGGAGAGUUUGAUCCUGGCUCAGAGUGAACGCUGGCGGCGUGCCUAAUACAUGCAAGUCGAACGGACAAGUAAGAGCUUGCUCUUAUGAGUUAGUGGCGCACGGGUGAGUAAUGUAUAGCUAAUCUGCCCUACACUAGAGGACAACAGUUGGAAACGGCUGCUAAUACUCUAUACUCCUGUCUUACAUAAGUUAGAUAGGGAAAGUUUUUCGGUGUAGGAUGAGGCUAUAUUGUAUCAGCUAGUUGGUGAGGUAAUGGCUCACCAAGGCUAUGACGCAUAACUGGUCUGAGAGGAUGAUCAGUCACACUGGAACUGAGACACGGUCCAGACUCCUACGGGAGGCAGCAG
RNAcentral lists this ribosomal RNA (351 nucleotides) under Campylobacter concisus. RNAcentral's name for it is "bacterial SSU rRNA". It matches the Rfam family "Bacterial small subunit ribosomal RNA", at positions 1 to 354 of the family's 1533-position model. The record is from RNAcentral. Lineage: Bacteria; Pseudomonadati; Campylobacterota; Epsilonproteobacteria; Campylobacterales; Campylobacteraceae.